UACGUAGGUGACCAGCGUUGUCCGGAUUUACUGGGCGUAAAGAGCGCGCAGGCGGUCGUUCAAGUCGAGUGUGAAAGCCCCCGGCUCAACUGGGGAGGGUCACUCGAUACUGAUCGACUUGAAGGCAGGAGAGGGAAGCGGAAUUCCCGGUGUAGUGGUGAAAUGCGUAGAUAUCGGAAGGAACACCAGUGGCGAAGGCGGCUUCCUGGGCUAAUACUGACACUGAGGUGCGAAAGCGUGGGGAGCAAACAGG
Molecule: ribosomal RNA, 253 nt
Filed under: uncultured bacterium
Lineage: Bacteria
Description: partial 16S ribosomal RNA
Rfam family: Bacterial small subunit ribosomal RNA
Source: RNAcentral